Molecule: transfer RNA, 73 nt
Filed under: Acropora cervicornis
Lineage: Eukaryota; Metazoa; Cnidaria; Anthozoa; Scleractinia; Acroporidae
Description: tRNA-Ile
Rfam family: tRNA
About the family: Transfer RNA (tRNA) molecules are approximately 80 nucleotides in length. Their secondary structure includes four short double-helical elements and three loops (D, anti-codon, and T loops). Further hydrogen bonds mediate the characteristic L-shaped molecular structure. tRNAs have two regions of fundamental functional importance: the anti-codon, which is responsible for specific mRNA codon recognition, and the 3' end, to which the tRNAs corresponding amino acid is attached (by aminoacyl-tRNA synthetases). tRNAs cope with the degeneracy of the genetic code in two manners: having more than one tRNA (with a specific anti-codon) for a particular amino acid; and 'wobble' base-pairing, i.e. permitting non-standard base-pairing at the 3rd anti-codon position.
Source: RNAcentral
GGUUUCACGGCUCAGUUGGUCGAGCAUCGCACCGAUAUCGCGGAGGUCACGGGUUCGAAUCCCGUUGAAGCCC